UUGAACUCGGAUCAGGUAGGAAUACCCGCUGAACUUAAGCUU
Molecule: ribosomal RNA, 42 nt
Filed under: Pestalotiopsis photiniae
Lineage: Eukaryota; Fungi; Ascomycota; Sordariomycetes; Amphisphaeriales; Sporocadaceae
Description: partial 28S ribosomal RNA
Source: RNAcentral